GCCAGAAUGGUGUAGUGGUUUGAGCGCUGGAUUCUGACUCAGGAGACCAGGGUUCAAAUCCUCACUUGGCCA
RNAcentral lists this transfer RNA (72 nucleotides) under Phrynosoma platyrhinos (Desert horned lizard). Its description in RNAcentral is "tRNA-OTHER". Lineage: Eukaryota; Metazoa; Chordata; Lepidosauria; Squamata; Phrynosomatidae. The record is from RNAcentral.